UACGUAGGGUGCAAGCGUUAAUCGGAAUUACUGGGCGUAAAGCGUGCGCAGGCGGUGAUGUAAGACAGAUGUGAAAUCCCCGGGCUCAACCUGGGAACUGCGUUUGUGACUGUAUGACUAGAGUACGGUAGAGAGGGGUGGAAUUCCUGGUGUAGCAGUGAAAUGCGUAGAUAUCAGGAGGAACAUCGAUGGCGAAGGCAGCCCCUUGGACCUGUACUGACGCUCAUGCACGAAAGCGUGGGGAGCAAACAGG
Molecule: ribosomal RNA, 253 nt
Filed under: uncultured bacterium
Lineage: Bacteria
Description: partial 16S ribosomal RNA
Rfam family: Bacterial small subunit ribosomal RNA
Source: RNAcentral